AUUGAACGCUGGCGGCAGGCCUAACACAUGCAAGUCGAAUGGUAACAGGAAACAGCUUGCUGUUUCGCUGACGAGUGGCGGGCGGGUGAGUAAUGUCUGGGAAACUGCCUGAUGGAGGGGGAUAACUACUGGAAACGGUAGCUAAUACCGCAUAACGUCGCAAGACCAAAGAGGGGGACCUUCGGGCCUCUUGCCAUCAGAUGUGCCCAGAUGGGAUUAGCUAGUAGGUGGGGUAACGGCUCACCUAGGCGACGAUCCCUAGCUGGUCUGAGAGGAUGACCAGCCACACUGGAACUGAGACACGGUCCAGACUCCUACGGGAGGCAGCAGUGGGGAAUAUUGCACAAUGGGCGCAAGCCUGAUGCAGCCAUGCCGCGUGUAUGAAGAAGGCCUUCGGGUUGUAAAGUACUUUCAGCGGGGAGGAAGGGAGUAAAGUUAAUACCUUUGCUCAUUGACGUUACCCGCAGAAGAAGCACCGGCUAACUCCGUG
This 490-nucleotide ribosomal RNA is filed under the name uncultured bacterium. RNAcentral describes it as "partial 16S ribosomal RNA". It matches the Rfam family "Bacterial small subunit ribosomal RNA", at positions 30 to 507 of the family's 1533-position model. The record is from RNAcentral.